GGAACCAAAACUUGACUUGUCUAGUCUCCAAAGAAAGCCUUUUGCUUAACUCCAACCUUUGUUUCUCAUCAGGAUGAGGACACUCCUUGAAAAGAGAUUCAAGUUCUUGGAUUUGCUGAGGAGUGUGUCGGUGGUAUCUUUUCUUCCUUGGUGGUUUGUCGGUAGCAUCUUGUUCAUCACCCGAUGCACCUUCCAAGUUAUCACUUCCAGAUCUGCUGUCUGGUUCUUCUUCUCUACUCCUUCUACCAACACUGUUAUUUCCCUCGUAGUUUUCAGCCAUUCUUGUUACCUCACUUUGCCCUUCCAUACCUGUUUGAAGAGCAAGAGAAAGUCCUGGGGAGUUGAACAUGUUCUUGGCAAGAGAUUGAGGAAGAAGUCUUGGCUGAGAAAUUGCACCAGUGGGCAUAUUGUUUUUAUUGUCGUUGUUGCUGCUGCUGUUGUUGUGAUUAAAUGGUAUAUCAGCAACAAUUCUUGCACCGCCACCACCAGAAUUAUUAUCAAGAAAACCCCCAAAAUUCAUGAAAUAAAGCAAGAGAAACUCAAAAAGAACUAAAC
This 555-nucleotide unclassified non-coding RNA is filed under the name Hevea brasiliensis (rubber tree). Lineage: Eukaryota; Viridiplantae; Streptophyta; Magnoliopsida; Malpighiales; Euphorbiaceae. The record is from RNAcentral.